UACGUAGGUGGCAAGCGUUGUCCGGAUUUACUGGGCGUAAAGAGCGCGCAGGCGGCUGAUUAAGUCGAAUGUGAAAGCCCCCGGCUCAACUGGGGAGGGUCAUUCGAUACUGAUCAACUUGAAGGCAGGAGAGAGAAGUGGAAUUCCCGGUGUAGUGGUGAAAUGCGUAGAUAUCGGGAGGAACACCAGUGGCGAAGGCGGCAUACUGGAUCACUUCUGACGCUGAGGCGCGAAAGCCAGGGGAGCGAACGGG
This 253-nucleotide ribosomal RNA is filed under the name uncultured bacterium. Its description in RNAcentral is "partial 16S ribosomal RNA". It matches the Rfam family "Bacterial small subunit ribosomal RNA", at positions 524 to 776 of the family's 1533-position model. The record is from RNAcentral.